This 602-nucleotide ribosomal RNA is filed under the name Enterococcus sp. IsoL/T2S1-8. RNAcentral's name for it is "bacterial LSU rRNA". It matches the Rfam family "Bacterial large subunit ribosomal RNA", at positions 243 to 849 of the family's 2925-position model. Lineage: Bacteria; Bacillati; Bacillota; Bacilli; Lactobacillales; Enterococcaceae. The record is from RNAcentral.
GUAGCGGCGAGCGAAACGGGAAAAGCCCAAACCAACAAGCUUGCUUGUUGGGGUUGUAGGACUCCGAUAUGGUAGUCUAUUCAGAUAGUCGAAAUACUUGGAAAAGUAUGUCAAAGAGGGUAAAAACCCCGUAGGCGAAAUUUGGAUAACACCUAGGAGGAUCCUGAGUACGGCGGAACACGAGGAAUUCCGUCGGAAUCCGGGAGGACCAUCUCCCAAGGCUAAAUACUCCCUAGUGACCGAUAGUGAACCAGUACCGUGAGGGAAAGGUGAAAAGCACCCCGGAAGGGGAGUGAAAUAGAUCCUGAAACCGUGUGCCUACAACAAGUUAGAGCCCGUUAAUGGGUGAUAGCGUGCCUUUUGUAGAAUGAACCGGCGAGUUACGAUAGCAUGCGAGGUUAAGUUGAAGAGACGGAGCCGCAGCGAAAGCGAGUCUGAAUAGGGCGAAUGAGUAUGUUGUCGUAGACCCGAAACCAUGUGAUCUACCCAUGUCCAGGUUGAAGGUGCGGUAAAACGCACUGGAGGACCGAACCCACGUACGUUGAAAAGUGCGGGGAUGAGGUGUGGGUAGCGGAGAAAUUCCAAACGAACUUGGAGAUAGC